Small nuclear RNA from Rattus norvegicus (Norway rat), 164 nucleotides. Ensembl annotates it as U4 spliceosomal RNA. NCBI's taxonomy places the organism in Eukaryota, Metazoa, Chordata, Mammalia, Rodentia, Muridae. The record is from Ensembl.
AGCUUUGCACAGUGGCAGUAUCGUAGCCAAUGAGGUUUAUCAGAGGCGUUAUUAUUACUAAUUGAAAUGCAUGAGUUAGAUGACAUCUACCUCCCUAUCCCCCUCUCAGUUCUUACUGUUCCUGGAGCCUCAGAAUGCAACAGAAUUUGGAAGCAGGUUGUUGC